GAGGUUGUGCCCUUGAGGCGUGGCUUCCGGAGCUAACGCGUUAAGUCGACCGCCUGGGGAGUACGGCCGCAAGGUUAAAACUCAAAUGAAUUGACGGGGGCCCGCACAAGCGGUGGAGCAUGUGGUUUAAUUCGAUGCAACGCGAAGAACCUUACCUGGUCUUGACAUCCACGGAAGUUUUCAGAGAUGAGAAUGUGCCUUCGGGAACCGUGAGACAGGUGCUGCAUGGCUGUCGUCAGCUCGUGUUGUGAAAUGUUGGGUUAAGUCCCGCAACGAGCGCAACCCUUAUCCUUUGUUGCCAGCGGUCCGGCCGGGAACUCAAAGGAGACUGCCAGUGAUAAACUGGAGGAAGGUGGGGAUGACGUCAAGUCAUCAUGGCCCUUACGACCAGGGCUACACACGUGCUACAAUGGCGCAUACAAAGAGAAGCGACCUCGCGAGAGCAAGCGGACCUCAUAAAGUGCGUCGUAGUCCGGAUUGGAGUCUGCAACUCGACUCCAUGAAGUCGGAAUCGCUAGUAAUCGUGGAUCAGAAUGCCACGGUGAAUACGUUCCCGGGCCUUGUACACACCGCCCGUCACACCAUGGGAGUGGGUUGCAAAAGAAGUAGGUAGCUUAACCUUCGGGAGGGCGCUUACCACUUUGUGAUUCAUGACUGGGGUGAAGUCGUAACAAGGUAACCGUAGGGGAACCUGCGGUUGGA
RNAcentral lists this ribosomal RNA (702 nucleotides) under Escherichia coli. Its description in RNAcentral is "bacterial SSU rRNA". It matches the Rfam family "Bacterial small subunit ribosomal RNA", at positions 820 to 1522 of the family's 1533-position model. Lineage: Bacteria; Pseudomonadati; Pseudomonadota; Gammaproteobacteria; Enterobacterales; Enterobacteriaceae. The record is from RNAcentral.